AAUCUUGGACAAUGGGGGGAACCCUGAUCCAGCCAUUCCGCGUGUGUGAUGAAGGCCUUCGGGUUGUAAAGCACUUUUGGCAGGGAAGAAAUUGCGCGGGCUAAUACCCUGCGUGGAUGACGGUACCUGCAGAAGAAGCACCGGCCAACUACGUGCCAGCAGCCGCGGUAAUACGUAGGGUGCAAGCGUUAAUCGGAAUUACUGGGCGUAAAGGGUGCGCGGGCGGCUCGGAAAGAAAGAUGUGAAAUCCCAGGGCUCAACCUUGGAACUGCAUUUUUAACUACCGGGCUAGAGUGUGUCAGAGGGAGGUGGAAUUCCACGUGUAGCAGUGAAAUGCGUAGGUAUGCGGAGAAACCCCGAUGGCGAAGGCAGCCUCCUGGGAUAACACUGACGCUAAGGCACGAAAGCGUGGGGAGCAAAC
Molecule: ribosomal RNA, 421 nt
Filed under: uncultured bacterium
Lineage: Bacteria
Description: partial 16S ribosomal RNA
Rfam family: Bacterial small subunit ribosomal RNA
Source: RNAcentral